AGGCAGAGCCCAGGCUUGCUGGCACUGGGUGGAGGGAGGGCAGCAGCAUCAAGGCUAUAAUGGAGACAAAGGAACAAGCUAAAUGGUGACAAAAGGGAGCAGCCACACGGAUCCAGACAGUGAGGACCCACUCCCUUCAACCAGUCACAGUAAAGGGCAUUGUGCUGGCUGGAAAGCGACCGAGGGAUGUGUGCCCAGAGACACUGCCAGGUCCUGGACCAGAUUCUGCUCUGGACGAACCAGCUUCCCUCACUGAACAUCAACCAGAAGCCAGGAGCAGCCCAAGUAUCCAACCCAAGUCACCAGAGCAUGGAUAAACCAGCUGGGGAACAAUCCGCACAACGGAAUAACCCUUAGCGAUACAGAACAAAUGACUGAUACAUGUUACAACUUGGAUGAACCUCAGAAACAUUA
Molecule: long non-coding RNA, 414 nt
Organism: Molossus molossus (Pallas's mastiff bat)
Lineage: Eukaryota; Metazoa; Chordata; Mammalia; Chiroptera; Molossidae
Exons: 3
Source: RefSeq, a predicted model, not a curated record